This 1374-nucleotide small RNA is filed under the name Pongo abelii (Sumatran orangutan). Its description in RNAcentral is "processed transcript". The record is from RNAcentral. Lineage: Eukaryota; Metazoa; Chordata; Mammalia; Primates; Hominidae.
CACAAAUGAAUAGUUAUGAAGUUAUCUUCGUUUUUUUCCUUGCAGCUCCAAAAUAAAGAGGUUUUCAGAGAGAGAGAAAGAGAGAAAGAUCUAACUAUUUGAAUAAUAUGAAGGAGCAUCUAUGAAAUGAUAGACAUGCUAGGUACUGCUCUGUAGUGGUUAGCAUAGUUGCUGCCGCCUUUCUGCGAUAGUCUAGUGUGAUAUUUCAUUGGGUAAUGAUGGAUACCUGGUGCCAUGGAAGAGAAAAGUGGGACAUAUAUUCCAGACUUUGGAAAUCCAUGUAGCAUUGCUGUCAGCUAAACUAAGACCUGAAGUUUAAAUAGAAAUGAGCCAGAUGAGGGCAAGAGUGGAAGAGGUGGGGAUAAAGCAAGGGUGGUCCAAGAGGAGGAAGUAACCCACACACAGGCUUGAAGGCAAAAGGUGACAGAACCUUCUCAAGACAGUAAGUAUAGAGUGAUGGUGCACAGUGGAAGAGACGGUAUAAUUAGGCAGGAUAUUGUAAGCCUUGAAAAGAAUUAGGCAGGAUAUUGUAAGCCCUGAUUAGAUUCUAUCCUAAGGGCAACAGAAGAUCACUGAUGGUGUUUUAAAUAGAUAGACUAGAUUAUUAGAUUUGCAGUUUAGAAGUUCCCUUUUUUUGUAAUUAUUGGACAGUGUAGAGACCGGAUGAUGAGAGAUGAGUUAGGAAGUUGUGACAGCUCUCUAUACUUACUGCUAAUGUAGAGGAUUAUUUAUUUUCAUUUCAUUACCAUUCGUGUAAGGGGUGUGUGUGUGUGCAUGUGUGUGUGUAUAGCUAGUUUCUCUAUAGAAAUUAUAUGGAAGAGUAAGAAGUCUUCACUUUAAAAUUCAUGUUCUUUAAUGACAGUAUUUUCUGAAUAUAAGAGACACUCACCCUCAUUUGUUUUGGCCAGGGUGUUGGAACUCGCCAUAAGGCAUUGAUCAGAAUUAUGGUUUCCCGUUCUGAAAUUGACAUGAAUGAUAUCAAAGCAUUCUAUCAGAAGAUGUAUGGUAUCUCCCUUUGCCAAGCCAUCCUGGAUGAAACCAAAGGAGAUUAUGAAAAAAUCCUGGUGGCUCUUUGUGGAGGAAACUAAACAUUACCUUGAUGGUCUCAAGCUAUGAUCAGAAGACUUUAAUUAUAUAUUUUCAUCCUAUAAGCUUAAAUAGGAAAGUUUCUUCAACAGGAUUACAGUGUAGCUACCUACAUGCUGAAAAAUAUAGCCUUUAAAUCAUUUUUAUAUUAUAACUCUGUAUAAUAGAGAUAAGUUCAUUUUUUAAAAAUGUUUGCCCCAAACCAUAAAACCCUAUACAAGUUGUUCUAGUAACAAUACAUGAGAAAGAUGUCUAUGUAGCUGAAAAUAAAAUGACGUCACAAGACAU